GCCGCCACUUCCUUUUAUUCCUCUUAUUUUGUGCAACAACAUGGGGGUUUCUCACCAUGGAAAAUUAGAUUAGAUCUGGUUCUACCAUGAAAAAUAAGUGGUUGGGCAUUCCAUAUUUCUUUUGGGUGUGAUUUGAUGAGAGGUGGCGACAAAAGGCAAGUAAGAGUCCAACAAACCUAGGACUCUUCAUCCCCACUUAUUACAUGCCAAUAAAAGGGGCUCUUAUUGUUUGUUUUGUGCAUGUAAGAUAGUAGAGAAGGAGUUCUCUAUGUUAAGGGGCUUGGGUGUGAGUUUAUGGCAUGGAAAAGGGAG
This 312-nucleotide long non-coding RNA is filed under the name Elaeis guineensis (African oil palm). RNAcentral's name for it is "long non-coding RNA (EGUI_LNC068024)". Lineage: Eukaryota; Viridiplantae; Streptophyta; Magnoliopsida; Arecales; Arecaceae. The record is from RNAcentral.